RNAcentral lists this ribosomal RNA (252 nucleotides) under uncultured bacterium. RNAcentral describes it as "partial 16S ribosomal RNA". It matches the Rfam family "Bacterial small subunit ribosomal RNA", at positions 524 to 775 of the family's 1533-position model. The record is from RNAcentral.
UACGAAGGGGGCUAGCGUUGCUCGGAAUCACGUGGCGUAAAGCGCACGUAGGCGGAUUGUUAAGUCAGGGGUGAAAUCCUGGAGCUCAACUCCAGAACUGCCUUUGAUACUGGCGAUCUUGAGUCCGGGAGAGGUGAGUGGAACUGCGAGUGUAGAGGUGAAAUUCGUAGAUAUUCGCAAGAACACCAGUGGCGAAGGCGGCUCACUGGCCCGGUACUGACGCUGAGGUGCGAAAGCGUGGGGAGCAACAGG